UUUUAAAAUCCUAUUAUUUAUCUUCCUUCCCCUUGCUCUUUCUCCCUCUGCCCCUCAGUACUAUAAGUGUUAUCUUCUUUGAAGUAAUGGAAUUUAAUUAGAUAUAUAUUCCUUGAAAUUUCUCCAUUGAAAUAUUCUAAAACUUGAUAAGGCAAUGGUUACACAAUUCUAUAAAUUUACAAAAAUGUCACUGAAUUAUACAUUUAAAACAGGUGAAUUUUAUGGUGUGUAAAUUACACCUCAUAAAGGUAGUUUAACAGUUUAUCUUGCAUAAGACUGUAACUAAGACUCUCCAUUGAAAAGGUGGAUCUAAUGGCUGGCAAGUAUCGGUAUCCCAGUCUCUAAACUGACAUCCACUUAUUUCUGGAUUAAAUUCAACAGAGGCAAUGGCCAGCCAAACGUCCCCUCUACCACCUGCCAAGCCUCUCAGGGGACCCUGGAGGAAGAGAAGUUCAUUCUGUCUUCAGACUCAUUCACCCUCUCACCUCUCUACUUAGAUGGCCAAGUGGAUGGCACAAAGGGGCCCUGGAGUCAAGUUUGCUGGGAAAGUUUGUUAUGGGAUGGAGGGUGGAGAAGAAUAAUAGCAGCCUCAAGGGGAGGAGAGAGAGAAUAGAAUAGAAAGAAGAUGAACUAAAAGAACAAGCACAUCAUGUACAGAAAGGAUAUUAUCCAGCUACAGUAGAGUAGAACGAUGAACCGUCUUGUGGAACCGCAAAAUUCAGCGACUUGUGUAGAACUUUCCAUUGCCACCAUGCAUAAAAUGAAAGCAAUAAAAUCAAAGCAUUAUUAGUAAUGAAGAAACUGGAUUUUCAAUGCCACUUACUGACAAGAUGAUAUAAAGGUUGGAGAUAAUCUCUCGAUGAUACACCAAGAAAGAGAAAAAGAAAAGGCGUAUUUCUCACUGGCACACACUAAAAUCCGAUGAUGUGAGAAGACUACCUUUUCUGACAGUCCUUUUAUCUUCACUCUCCGACUAAAGUUUGAGAGAAGGAAUUAUUGAAAUUCAAUAAAGAAUUAUGGCAAUCCCAGCCUUCACUCCCCUUGAUGCCCCACAGGAAGAGUGUUUAAAAAUGUCUGUGGAAGAAGGGAAACAUUUUAAAUUUCAAGAUACAGACAAGAAUAGCUCUUUGUUGGGCUUCCCUGGUGGCACAGUGGUUGACACUCUGCCUGCUAAUGCAGGGGACACGGGUUCGAGCCCUGGUCUGGGAAGAUCCCACAUGCCGCGGAGCAACUAGGCCCGUGAGCCACAAUUACUGAGCCUGCGCGUCUGGAGCCUGUGCUCCGCAACAAGAGAGGCCACGAUAAUAAGAGGCCCGCGCACCGCGAUGAAGAGCGGCCCCCGCUCACCGCAGCUAGAGAAAGCCCUCGCACAGAAACGAAGACCCAAC
Long non-coding RNA from Balaenoptera ricei (Rice's whale), 1388 nucleotides. RefSeq lists it as uncharacterized. The record is from RefSeq and is a predicted model, not a curated record. NCBI's taxonomy places the organism in Eukaryota, Metazoa, Chordata, Mammalia, Artiodactyla, Balaenopteridae. The transcript is spliced from 5 exons.